This 264-nucleotide unclassified non-coding RNA is filed under the name Hevea brasiliensis (rubber tree). The record is from RNAcentral. Lineage: Eukaryota; Viridiplantae; Streptophyta; Magnoliopsida; Malpighiales; Euphorbiaceae.
CCCGCCUUUUCCGGUGGCACAAAAUGAGCAGCGCAAUGGACAACCAACCUGAGAUGAGAUGCAUGCAGUAAGACGCAUUGAACCUUUGUCAUCUUCAACUGGUAUGCCAACAGUUUCAAUCAAUCUGUUGUCCUCCAAUUUAAUCAGUAACUUAACAGUGCCAUCAACUGCAAUAACAGUGCGAUAAAUUGGCGAGCGCCCAACUUUCCAUCCUGCUUCUUGAAGAUCAUUUCGGAAUGCCUGAGGCAAUUGACUAAAAUCUUG